This 479-nucleotide ribosomal RNA is filed under the name uncultured bacterium. Its description in RNAcentral is "partial 16S ribosomal RNA". It matches the Rfam family "Bacterial small subunit ribosomal RNA", at positions 28 to 507 of the family's 1533-position model. The record is from RNAcentral.
GAUGAACGCUAGCGGGAGGCCUAACACAUGCAAGCCGAGCGGUAUUUGUUCUUCGGAACAGAGAGAGCGGCGCACGGGUGCGGAACACGUGUGCAACCUGCCUUUAUCUGGGGGAUAGCCUUUCGAAAGGAAGAUUAAUACCCCAUAAUAUAUUGAGUGGCAUCACUUGAUAUUGAAAACUCCGGUGGAUAGAGAUGGGCACGCGCAAGAUUAGAUAGUUGGUGAGGUAACGGCUCACCAAGUCAAUGAUCUUUAGGGGGCCUGAGAGGGUGAUCCCCCACACUGGUACUGAGACACGGACCAGACUCCUACGGGAGGCAGCAGUGAGGAAGAUUGGACAAUGGGUUAGCGCCUGAUCCAGCCAUCCCGCGUGAAGGACGACGGCCCUAUGGGUUGUAAACUUCUUUUGGAUAGGGAUAAACCUACUCUCGUGAGAGUAGCUGAAGGUACUAUACGAAUAAGCACCGGCUAACUCCGUG